This 234-nucleotide ribosomal RNA is filed under the name uncultured bacterium. RNAcentral describes it as "partial 16S ribosomal RNA". It matches the Rfam family "Bacterial small subunit ribosomal RNA", at positions 1258 to 1500 of the family's 1533-position model. The record is from RNAcentral.
CAACAUCGGUCCAAUCCUUAAAGUCAUCCUCAGUUCGGACUGGGGUCUGCAACCCGACCCCACGAAGCUGGAUUCGCUAGUAAUCGCGCAUCAGCCAUGGCGCGGUGAAUACGUUCCCGGGCCUUGUACACACCGCCCGUCAAGCCAUGAAAGCCGGGGGCGCCUGAAGUCCGUGACCGCGAGGGUCGGCCUAGGGUGAAACCGGUGAUUGGGGCUAAGUCGUAACAAGGUAUC